RNAcentral lists this ribosomal RNA (932 nucleotides) under Halobacillus alkaliphilus. RNAcentral describes it as "bacterial SSU rRNA". It matches the Rfam family "Bacterial small subunit ribosomal RNA", at positions 57 to 952 of the family's 1533-position model. The record is from RNAcentral. Lineage: Bacteria; Bacillati; Bacillota; Bacilli; Caryophanales; Bacillaceae.
GCAAGUCGAGCGCGGGAAGCGAGCGGAUCCCCUUCGGGGGUGAAGCUCGUGGAACGAGCGGCGGACGGGUGAGUAACACGUGGGCAACCUGCCUGUAAGACCGGAAUAACCCCGGGAAACCGGGGCUAAUGCCGGGUAACACCUACCUUCGCAUGAAGGAAGGUUAAAAGAUGGCUUCUCGCUAUCACUUACAGAUGGGCCCGCGGCGCAUUAGCUAGUUGGUGAGGUAACAGCUCACCAAGGCGACGAUGCGUAGCCGACCUGAGAGGGUGAUCGGCCACACUGGGACUGAGACACGGCCCAGACUCCUACGGGAGGCAGCAGUAGGGAAUCUUCCGCAAUGGACGAAAGUCUGACGGAGCAACGCCGCGUGAACGAUGAAGGUCUUCGGAUCGUAAAGUUCUGUUGUUAGGGAAGAACAAGUACCGUGCGAAUAGAGCGGUACCUUGACGGUACCUAACGAGGAAGCCCCGGCUAACUACGUGCCAGCAGCCGCGGUAAUACGUAGGGGGCAAGCGUUGUCCGGAAUUAUUGGGCGUAAAGCGCGCGCAGGCGGUUUCUUAAGUCUGAUGUGAAAGCCCACGGCUCAACCGUGGAGGGUCAUUGGAAACUGGGGAACUUGAGGACAGAAGAGGAGAGUGGAAUUCCACGUGUAGCGGUGAAAUGCGUAGAUAUGUGGAGGAACACCAGUGGCGAAGGCGACUCUCUGGUCUGUUUCUGACGCUGAGGUGCGAAAGCGUGGGUAGCAAACAGGAUUAGAUACCCUGGUAGUCCACGCCGUAAACGAUGAGUGCUAGGUGUUAGGGGGCUUCCACCCCUUAGUGCUGAAGUUAACGCAUUAAGCACUCCGCCCUGGGGAGUACGGCCGCAAGGCUGAAACUCAAAGGAAUUGACGGGGGCCCGCACAAGCGGUGGAGCAUGUGGUUUAAUUC